This 3481-nucleotide long non-coding RNA is filed under the name Gallus gallus (chicken). The record is from RNAcentral. Lineage: Eukaryota; Metazoa; Chordata; Aves; Galliformes; Phasianidae.
UGUGAAUCGAGACCGCCAUCCCAUGGUUGCUCUCAGAUUUGUUCUCAGAGAGAUAAAUGGCUGUUACCCCCCGCCCACCUUUCUUUACAGGGUGGUUGUACUGAAACAAAAGACCACGUCCUUCAUAUAUUCAGUGCUGUGUUUUGACAUGCUGUGUAUUGAGUUAAACCUCUUCCCAGCUGCCAAAAACCUUCAACUUCACUUACCUAUGGCACGUAACUUUCAGUGCUCUGAAAAGUUAUCGAAGGGCAGGAGGGCACAGGAAAAGAAUAAAACAAAGAGAUUUUACAGCCAGACUACAGUGAACCUGCAGUAUAGUUAUACUGGUACCAUAAAGGAAUCAUUUUGGAUGCUGCUACUUUUGUUUGCCAAGCUUCUUAUUGGUACCACAAGUCAACGCUUGCUGGAAAACGCCACCCUUGGAAAACAACCUGUAACGUACGACUGCUGUCUCUUCGUGUAUUUUCUGCUCAGAUCUUAACAUGCGCUUCCUCUGAAGGCCACCAGCGAUAAUAUUCACUCCCUCUCCAGAACCACGUGAGUAAAUACCUCCUCACGCAGGUGAGGAUUGGGCUGGGCACAAACAAGAGGAGGAUGCCAAGUAAACACAGGACUGCUGGGCAGCUUUGGUGGAUCCCAGUGCUAUUGUCUGGGUAAUUCAGGGGAAGGUUUCACUAAAAUGGUGUCCUUGUCACGCGAAGCACGGAAAACAGCUUCCCCGCUCCGGCUAGCAGUGGUCCGUGAGUAACUUGCCUGCAUGACGGCCGCCGGCCAGCAGGGGGCGCCUGCUUCGUGCAGCCCCUGGGCUGUUUAAUGCCUGGGGCCUCCGUGCACGAACGAGGUCGUUGCUGCCCGCGAGAGGCUGUGUAGCGAGGCCCCGCCCAGGUGCUAGGGCAGCCUUGCAGGGUGAAUGCCUUCCUUAGCGGUGAAGGCAGCUGGAAGUUUGCUGAUGGACAGUGUGAGCUGACCACUCCUCUUGCGAGGUCACACCCCCUGCAGGAUGCUUAGACCAAGUCAGGACUCAGCAGGGGCUUUCAGUCAUCCCACUGGCUGUAGGUGUUAAGGUUUUGCAUUUGCUUUCAAAGCAACCAGAAGUAAUGGUGUUUUUUGUUUGUUUGUUUGUUUGUUUGUUUGUUUCGUUGCACAUCUCCCCACUUGCUUGGGAGGAUCUGCCCGGAAAAUGGGGAGCUGCAGCCCCCGGGGAAUAGCCAUGCUGUUGAUGGGAGGCUGGGGACAAUGGUGAGACUGUUCCACUGUAGGAAAGGCAGCUGAAGGCUCAGACAAGAGGAGCACGCGGGAACAGGCUUUGUGGCUCAGGCUCUGCAUGAAAGCGCUUAGCACAGGACAGGGAGCACAGUUUCAGUCCCAGGUGUCUACCUGUCUUUGGUUAUUCAAUGCAUAGUGGUUAUUAAAAUGAAGAAAUCAGAAUUCCUGAUCCAGCUUGUUCUUAUUUUUCCCUCUCUCUCUCUCUCUCUCUCUCUCUUUUUUUUUAAUGAAACAGAAGUCUGAUUGUGGUGCCAUCCAUGUAACAGAAUGCUGUUGGUGUGUGCUGGUGUUCUCUGUUCAUGCACGUAAACCUGGGACUCCCAGGGAACUUAAGAAGCAUGAGCCUUGUUUGUGAAUCUCCAGAUGGGGGCAGACAUUGAGAUGCACGGCUAGAAUAUUAGGCUGGGAUUGAUUACCCCAGUUCAGCUGUCAGGGAGCAGAAAGAAUUAAACCAAAGUCUCCUGGAUCCCAGGAAAAUGGCAUUACCGAUACCUCAACAUUUGGAGCAUCACUCAACAGUGAGCCCUGUGGCUGACAGUGGAGAGCCCAGUUCUGCCAGAGUGCUGGAGAACAUCUACUGGGAAAUUCAGACCACCUGGGGAGGUAGCUCAGCAAGCAAGGAGCUCAAAUCACAGUCCCUGAGGGAGUUCAUGAGGCAGUGGAGGAGGUGAAAAUAACCUCUAUAUUUGAAUACUACGAAAGUCAAGACAUCACAAAGGAGAUCUCUUAGACUGGAACCCGAUCGCAAAUGGUCCAGCCAGAGGCGUUAGACCAGAAAGAUGGAUGCUGGACUAUAGAAAACCUCAGAGCUGGAGUAUGUAAUUAUGUUUGUCUUAUGACAGAGUUUUGCCCCAGCUACAGCCAAAAGAAGAAAAAAAAAAUCUUCCAAAUAUUUGGAUUUAUAAAGGAAUUCUCUACAGCUUGACUUGCAUGUUUUACAUGGUCACAUUCAAAUUUGCCUGCAUAAAUAUUCACAGAUGCUGGAGUCUAAAAGUUUACCCAUGUGGAUAUUUGCUUUGAAAGAGCUAGUACUUUCAUCCAGUCCAUGAAGCUGUGAUUCCAGACUUAUGUGACCAAUUACAAGUAGAUGGUUACACAGACAUUAACAAAGCAGAUCUGAACAGAAAAAAAUUCCUAAGAAUUCAAGUUAUUUUCAGACGCGGUGUUGAAAACAAACAAGUUAAAUGUGUUUUAAAGUUUUAUUUUUGCUUUUAAUUAUUCCCAAACCACUAAUCACAGCAAUACUCUAAAUGCCUUUAAAGAGAGCUCUUUGCAUGGCUUCUUGUUUUAUGUUGACUUUCUGAACCUAAAAGGCUGACAGAAACAUAAGUGAGCACGAAGGGUAAACCCAUUAAUUGAUUACAUUCAUCACUUUUAAGUAUUUGUAAAACUGUUUAAAAAGUAUUUCCUUAUCAGUUCCUAGGUGUUUUCACUAUAUAAUACCUAGACUUUCAAGUGAAACAAUAAUUAAGCAUUACAGUCAACAUGCAUUUCCUUAUAUGAAUAACUUGGGCUCUGAAUACUCUUGAGCAAAGACUUCUGAAAUGUGUCUGAAUUCUUUGACAGUCAGCGCUUAUCUGAUGCUCAAUAACUAUUUAUGACAGCAGAAAUCUUCUAAGAUGCCAUUGAAAUGCAUUUUUGUGUGACAUGGGUAAUCUUUCAUCUUUCUGUGGACUAUAGAAUUCCCACAUAAUGCCAUAGUAAAAACAUCUGCAUCUCAGUACAGAGAAGAUGAUCACUGUUUUUACAGCCUAUGCAUUUAGAAUCACUACCUCUUUCUUGUCACGAUUAAAUUCCUUCGUAUGCCCACAAAUAAAAAGUAAUGCAUAUUUGGUUCAAAGUUAUGUUUUUCUCAAUUCACUCUCUCUGAAAACAGAAAACAGGAGUUUUAAAAUACAUUCGAGUUUCAGGCUGCUGUGGCUCUGAUGGUUUGUAUCUGCCUCCACUAAUGAAAAAUAGUAAUCCUCUUUCACAUGCCCCACUUUUAAAACCAUCCUUUAUUUUAAGCUGUUCAAGAUGCUCAUGGUUCUGUUGUAUCAAAUGAAAUUCUACAACCGUAAGUAAAAUUUUGUGGAAUGAAUUUGAAGCUGAAGAAAGCAAGAUUUACAAAACAGGAGAUUUACAACUGAGAAAGCACAUCAUUCUGAAGAACAGCACCUUUACUUUCAUUUCCCUCCAAAAAGACAAUGUUCAAUACAGUAACACAACAUAACAG